AGGACGAACGCUGGCGGCGUGCUUAACACAUGCAAGUCGAGCGGAAAGGCCCUUCGGGGUACUCGAGCGGCGAACGGGUGAGUAACACGUGAGCAAUCUGCCUUUAGCUCUGGGAUAGCUCCGGGAAAACCGGGAUUAAUACCGGAUAAGACCACUUUAGACAUCUGUUGUGGUGGAAAGAAUUUCGGCUAGAGAUGAGCUCGCGGCCUAUCAGCUUGUUGGUGGGGUAACGCCCACCAAGGCGACGACGGGUAGCCGGCCUGAGAGGGCGACCGGCCACACUGGGACUGAGACACGGCCCAGACUCCUACGGGAGGCAGCAGUGGGGAAUAUUGCGCAAUGGGCGAAAGCCUGACGCAGCGACGCCGCGUGGGGGAUGAAGGCCUUCGGGUUGUAACCCUUUCAGCAGGGACGAAGCGAAAGUGACGGUACCUGCAGAAGAAGCGCCGGCUAACUACGUGCCAGCAGCCGC
RNAcentral lists this ribosomal RNA (472 nucleotides) under uncultured bacterium. RNAcentral describes it as "SSU rRNA". It matches the Rfam family "Bacterial small subunit ribosomal RNA", at positions 26 to 518 of the family's 1533-position model. The record is from RNAcentral.